CGAGUCCGAGUCUCCACGGAGACGAAGUGGCAGUCAUCCAGCUUCCUAGAAAAGCUCUAACCACGUUAAUCUUUAGUUGCCUGUACCCGAAACCGACACAGGUAGGGGGGUAGAGAAUACCAAGGGGCGCGAGAUAACUCUCUCUAAGGAACUCGGCAAAAUGACCCCGUAACUUCGGGAGAAGGGGUACCACUGAGAAGUGGUCGCAGUGAAGAGGCCCAGGCGACUGUUUACCAAAAACACAGGUCUCCGCCAAGUCGCAAGACGAAGUAUGGGGGCUGACGCCUGCCCAGUGCCGGAAGGUUAAGGAAGUGGGUUAGGGAUUCGUCCCGAAGCUGACGACUGAAGCCCCGGUGAACGGCGGCCGUAACUAUAACGGUCCUAAGGUAGCGAAAUUCCUUGUCGGGUAAGUUCCGACCCGCACGAAAGGCGUAACGAUCUGGGCGCUGUCUCGGAGAGAGGCUCGGCGAAAUAGGAAUGUCUGUGAAGAUACGGACUACCUGCACCUGGACAGAAAGACCCUAUGAAGCUUUACUGUAGCUUGGAAUUGGGUUCGGGCUUGGUUUGCGCAGGAUAGGUGGGAGGCGAAGAAGAUUUGCUUGUGGGUGAAUCUGAGCCAACGGUGAGAUACUACUCUAACCAGGCUAGAAUUCUAACUUCAACCCGUCAACCGGGGGAAGGACAGUUUCAGGUGGGCAGUUUGACUGGGGCGGUCGCCUCCUAAAAGAUAACGGAGGCGCACAAAGGUUCCCUCAGGCUGGUUGGAAAUCAGCCAACGAGUGCAAAGGCAGAAGGGAGCUUGACUGCGAGACCUACAAGUCAAGCAGGGUGGAAACACGGUCUUAGUGAUCCGACGGCACCGAGUGGAAGGGCCGUCGCUCAACGGAUAAAAGUUACUCUAGGAUAACAGGCUGAUCUCCCCCAAGAGUUCACAUCGACGGGGAGGUUUGGCACCUCGAUGUCGGCUCAUCGCAACCUGGGGCGGAAGUACGUCCCAAGGGUUGGGCUGUUCGCCCAUUAAAGCGGUACGUGAGCUGGGUUCAGAACGUCGUGAGACAGUUCGGUCCAUAUCCGGUGUAGGCGCAAGAACAUUGAGAGGAGUCUUCCUUAGUACGAGAGGACCGGGAAGAACGCACCGCUGGUGUACCUGUUAUCGUGCCAACGGUAAACGCAGGGUAGCCAAGUGCGGAGUGGAUAACCGCUGAAAGCAUCUAAGUGGGAAGCCCACCUCAAGAUGAGUGUUCUCAUGGAGUAAUCCAGUAAGGUCACGGGAAGACGACCCGUUGAUAGGCGGUAGGUGGAAGUUCAGCAAUGGAUGAAGCCGAGCCGUACUAACAGACCGAGGGCUUGACC
This 1353-nucleotide ribosomal RNA is filed under the name metagenome. Its description in RNAcentral is "bacterial LSU rRNA". It matches the Rfam family "Bacterial large subunit ribosomal RNA", at positions 1564 to 2925 of the family's 2925-position model. The record is from RNAcentral.